GGGCCCGUAGCUCAGCUGGUUAGAGCGCCAAGCUUAUACCUUGGAUGUCCCUGGUUCGAGUCCAGGCGGGCCCACCA
This 77-nucleotide transfer RNA is filed under the name Minisyncoccota bacterium. RNAcentral describes it as "tRNA-Ile". It matches the Rfam family "tRNA". Rfam says of the family: Transfer RNA (tRNA) molecules are approximately 80 nucleotides in length. Their secondary structure includes four short double-helical elements and three loops (D, anti-codon, and T loops). Lineage: Bacteria; Bacillati; Minisyncoccota. The record is from RNAcentral.